UACGUAGGGUGCAAGCGUUGUCCGGAAUUAUUGGGCGUAAAGAGCUCGUAGGCGGUCUGUCGCGUCUGCUGUGAAAACUCGGGGCUUAACCCCGGGCCUGCAGUGGGUACGGGCAGACUAGAGUGCGGUAGGGGAGACUGGAAUUCCUGGUGUAGCGGUGAAAUGCGCAGAUAUCAGGAGGAACGCCGGUGGCGAAGGCGGGUCUCUGGGCCGUAACUGACGCUGAGGAGCGAAAGCAUGGGGAGCGAACAGG
Molecule: ribosomal RNA, 253 nt
Filed under: uncultured bacterium
Lineage: Bacteria
Description: partial 16S ribosomal RNA
Rfam family: Bacterial small subunit ribosomal RNA
Source: RNAcentral